RNAcentral lists this transfer RNA (82 nucleotides) under Canis lupus familiaris (dog). It matches the Rfam family "tRNA". From Rfam's summary of the family: Transfer RNA (tRNA) molecules are approximately 80 nucleotides in length. Their secondary structure includes four short double-helical elements and three loops (D, anti-codon, and T loops). Lineage: Eukaryota; Metazoa; Chordata; Mammalia; Carnivora; Canidae. RNAcentral also lists the same sequence under 1 other name. The record is from Rfam by way of RNAcentral.
ACCUGGGUGGCUCAGUGGUUGAGCGUCUGUCUUCGGCUCAGGGUGUGACCCUGGGUCGUGGGAUCGAGUCCCGCAUCAGGCU